GGCAUCCACAACUUCUCUGGGCAACCUGUUCCAGUGCCUCACACUUUCUUGUAGGCAGUGCUGCUUGCAGGAUGAGGGUGCACAGGCCCUGGGACAGAGGAAAGCACAGAUCAAUGAACUGACAAGAUGGACAAUUUUGCUUUUGUUCUUUAAAACAGAGCAAGGAAGAAAAGCCACAAAGAAGAAAGAACGAGAGACUUGAGAAAGAGGCAAAAUCCAUAGUUGCAAACCAAAUUAAUUUUUGGGUACCUCAGUGUUUGAGUGCUCUUUUUUCAAUCUUUUCAAAAAUGAAUAGUUUCCAGAGAGCACCUGUCCUCCCAGAGUGAUGGUUACCUGAUGUGUCAGCGCCAGCUGAGCAUCUGUCAUCAUUUCUUAUUUUGGGAAAUGUAGGCCCCAUGUGUUUACACCUCUUCAGAUCUCUUUCAAGGAGUUGGCAAAAGGUUUGCAUUUGCAUUGGUCUUACUUGCCUGAAUAGUAUUUCCAUUCUUAUGAUCACCUUUUUUCUCAGUGAGAGGUUGAAUUUCUGGUGUUGUAAUACCCAUCCACAUAAAAAUAAGAGCUCAAUAUAUUUUAAAAGGAAGAGACACUUAAUCAUUUAUGAAGGUACAAUAUUCUGAGUAAAAAAACCACCAAAGGCCACACACGGAUUUCUCCCCUCCUUCUCUC
Long non-coding RNA from Chiroxiphia lanceolata (lance-tailed manakin), 666 nucleotides. RefSeq lists it as uncharacterized. Lineage: Eukaryota; Metazoa; Chordata; Aves; Passeriformes; Pipridae. The transcript is spliced from 3 exons. The record is from RefSeq and is a predicted model, not a curated record.